ACUGCUUCCUUUGGCACUACCUUCUAAAAUUGAACCAUGCAGAGAAGAUUAGCAUGGCUCCUAUGUAAGAAUGGCACACAGAUUUGUGAAAUAUUUCAUAUUUGU
This is a small nuclear RNA of Octodon degus (degu), 105 nucleotides long. The record is from Ensembl. Lineage: Eukaryota; Metazoa; Chordata; Mammalia; Rodentia; Octodontidae.